RNAcentral lists this ribosomal RNA (499 nucleotides) under uncultured Glomeromycotina. Its description in RNAcentral is "partial small subunit ribosomal RNA". It matches the Rfam family "Eukaryotic small subunit ribosomal RNA", at positions 591 to 1092 of the family's 1831-position model. The record is from RNAcentral. Lineage: Eukaryota; Fungi; Glomeromycota.
CCAAUAGCGUAUAUUAAAGUUGUUGCAGUUAAAAAGCUCGUAGUUGAAUUUCGAGAUCGGCUUACUGGUCGUGCUUUUGUACGUACUGGUAUAAUCGGUUUCUCCUUUCUGACGAACUUUAAUGCCAUUAAUUUGGUGUUUUAGGGAAUCAGGACUGUUACUUUGAAAAAAUUAGAGUGUUUAAAGCAGGCUCACGCUUGAAUACCUUAGCAUGGAAUAACGGAAUAGGACGUUUGAUUCUAUUUUGUUGGUUUCUAGGAUCGACGUAAUGAUUAAUAGGGAUAGUUGGGGGCAUUAGUAUUCAAUUGUCAGAGGUGAAAUUCUUGGAUUUAUUGAAGACUAACUACUGCGAAAGCAUUUGCCAAGGAUGUUUUCAUUAAUCAAGAACGAAAGUUAGGGGAUCGAAGACGAUCAGAUACCGUCGUAGUCUUAACCAUAAACUAUGCCGACUAGGGAUCGGAUGAUGUUAAUUUUUUAAUGACUCAUUCGGCGCCUUACG